UGGGGAAUAUUGCACAAUGGGCGCAAGCCUGAUGCAGCCAUGCCGCGUGUGUGAAGAAGGCCUUCGGGUUGUAAAGCACUUUCAGCGAGGAGGAAGGGUUCAGUGUUAAUAGCACUGUGCAUUGACGUUACUCGCAGAAGAAGCACCGGCUAACUCCGUGCCAGCAGCCGCGGUAAUACGGAGGGUGCAAGCGUUAAUCGGAAUUACUGGGCGUAAAGCGCACGCAGGCGGUUUGUUAAGUCAGAUGUGAAAUCCCCGCGCUUAACGUGGGAACUGCAUUUGAAACUGGCAAGCUAGAGUCUUGUAGAGGGGGGUAGAAUUCCAGGUGUAGCGGUGAAAUGCGUAGAGAUCUGGAGGAAUACCGGUGGCGAAGGCGGCCCCCUGGACAAAGACUGACGCUCAGGUGCGAAAGCGUGGGGAGCAAACA
RNAcentral lists this ribosomal RNA (427 nucleotides) under uncultured bacterium. RNAcentral describes it as "bacterial SSU rRNA". It matches the Rfam family "Bacterial small subunit ribosomal RNA", at positions 355 to 774 of the family's 1533-position model. The record is from RNAcentral. RNAcentral also lists the same sequence under 1 other name.